RNAcentral lists this long non-coding RNA (5906 nucleotides) under Equus caballus (horse). Its description in RNAcentral is "lncRNA (ENSECAG00000060101.1)". Lineage: Eukaryota; Metazoa; Chordata; Mammalia; Perissodactyla; Equidae. The record is from RNAcentral.
AUCACCCCAAAUGGACGGGGUCGGACGGAGUUAUGGUGCAAUGAAAAUCAUUCCUGCCAAGCCAGCAACUGCAGAUGAAAGGCAGGGUGAGUCACACCAGCUCUCCAGUCCCUGGCAGAAGCAACAUCUCCCUCUGCAGCCCGAACAGCCCGUGAAUCAGGUGCCAGCCACAGGCAGCUCCAGACGCCAGCGUGUUCUCCUGAGACGAUGCAACAUCCAAUUCCUUGAAGCCUCACCUGCUAGGACCUGCUUUCCAAUGUCUGGACUCCUCUUGCUCUCUUCUUGUUUGCUUCCAAGCUCCGGACAGUCCACCCUUGGCCUAGCAUCCCUCGGCCAGACAUUGCACCAUUUCCAUUUUAGGACGAGAUUUGAAAAGCUGCUCGGUUUAGCUUUCAAUGUUGUUGGAGCUCCCAUGGGUGGUGUCUGGGAUGAUGCGACAGCAGGGGAACAGAUUCUGGCAUCUCCUCUUACUUACAGGAACAUAUGGACACUAUUUUCUUGCUGCUCAAAAUAGUCAAGGCCUGGCACCACCGACCACAAGAUGCUGACCAGGACACGUCACUUGCUUAACCGCGAAGCCUCGUUUUCUUCAUUCCAUGAGACAAGCAUGGCUUGAUGAGCUGUGUAUAGGUCCACACCUGGGAUUCGAACCCACGAACCCUGCGCUGCCGGAGUGGAGCAUGCAAACUCAGCCACCAUGCCACCGGGCUGGCCUCUCAAAAAUGGUGUCUCGGUCCAGGUCAGCCUCAAGCUAGAUGACCAAUGGAGAAAAAUGCCCAGCAAUUGGCCCAAGAAAGUGCUUACCAGGGUGACCGAGCCAAGGAUCCAUUAGCAUCGUGGAAGAGGAAGUUUGUGCUUCAAAGCCUGCUGGGUUCUUAGACACACAUUCCCCACAGCCUUUUGGUCUGUCCUUAGUUCCAGCUCCCCCUGAGCUUACCUGCGCGUUUAAAGGUACCACCUGAACACACCUGAGCUCGCCAACUCCAACUCGACAGAGACUUCAGAUCAUGUCAGGUUCUCGGUUCCCUGCUUCCACCUUCAUUAAAAAAAUAAGCAAAAUAAUUAUUCUGUUUUAUCUGUUACAGAAUUCAUGUUCAUUAUGUUCAUUGCAGAAAUGUUGGGAAAUAAAGAACAAAAUAAAAACUUCCUUUAAUCCAGUCACAGAGAGGAUUGGAUCCACACCACAAGUAACAUUUUGUUAUACCUCCCCUCACUAGACACACACACACACUCACAACAUAUAUUAUAAAAUAUAUUCUGUUUAUUCUUUAUAUAUUAUAAUACAUAUAUAUUUUGCUUGUUCUAUUAAUAUAUAAAUAUUUGUGCAUAUCUGUAACAAGAUAUGGACAUUUAUUAAAAUUAGGAUUUUGGGCCGGCCCCGUGGCCGAGUGGUUAAGUUCGCGCGCUCCGCUUUGGCGACCCAGGGUUUUGCUGGUUUGGAUCCUGGGUGCGGACAUGGCACCGCUCAUCAGGCCACGGUGAGGCAGCAUCCCACAUGCCACAACCAGAGGGACCCACAACUAAAAUAUGCAACUAUGUACUAGGGGCAUUUGGGGAGAAAAAGCAGAAAAACAAGCAAACAAAAAGACUGGCAACAGCUGUUAGCUCAGGUGCCAAUCCUAAAAAAAAAAUUAGACUUUUAUGAACACACUUUUCCAUUUUUUCUCACUAAAUAAUAUAACGUGAACAUUUCUUCGAGGAACCCUGCCCGCCAGCAGCCACGAGCCGUGCUGGGGCCAAGGUUCUGUUACAUCAUAUUGCUGUUGCAUCCUGGCCCCUGUUCCCACCAGGCUGGAGCUGGCGCUUUUUAAUCAGGUAGCUUCAAAUCUUUGCAGCCCAAGUGUCGGGCUCCGUCUCCCCGAGCCUCACGUCCAGCACUUCCAGAUCCCUUCGGUCAACGGAUUCCCGGGCGGGGCUCCACCCACCUGCACCUUAUCCUGUCUCUGGAGUCUCCCCAGUGAGUGGCGCUCCGGCAGGACUGUUUGUCCACGACACUAGGUAGAUCUGUACAGCUCAUGCCCUCCCUUCCUUAUGAUCCCUGCUCAAAUGUCACUUUACCCCAGUGGUCCUACCUGACCUCCUCAUGUAAAACACCUGAUGGAAAAUGAUGAAAAACAACUUUCUCCAGUCUGUGCACUGGCAAUCCUUAUCAGCCUCAUUCUACUCAAAUAUUUACAUAUGCUUAUCAAAUCCUAACAUAGAAUUUAUAUAUGUAUCUAAGUUUCUAUAUAUUUAACUGUAUCUAUGUAUCUAACUAUGUAUCUAUAUAUCUUAGUGCUUAUCUAUCUAUCAUAUGCACUAAUCUAUGUAUGUAUGUAUGUACUUAUCUCUCUAUCUAUCCAUCCAUCGACCUAAUGUAAUUAUGUAGGUAUGUAUGUAUCCAUCCAUCCACCUAAUGAAUGUAUGUCAGUAUGUAUCUAUCCAUCCAUCGACCUAAUAUACGUAUGUAUGUAUCUAUCUAUAUAUCCACCUAAUCUAUGUGUGUAUGUGUGUGUAUAUGUAUGCAUCCACCUAAUGUAUAUAUGUGUGUGUAUCUAUCCAUCCAUCCCCCUGCCUCACUAUUGUUGAUCCCAAGCACUUAGUACCCUGCCUUGGAUAUGUUUGACAAAUAUCUGUUGAAUGAACAAAUGUAUAGGAAUUAAUUUCUCUCUCCUAUUUUCUCUGUUAUCUAAAACAAUUAAAGUAAACCUGAAACUACUAUAAUGUUCUAUGUCAAUUAUACCUCAAUCAAUGUAAAAAAACAAGUUCUUCGUGUCAAUGUGGUUUUGACACCCAAACAAAUGUAGGCACUGAGGUCACAUGGCAUCACUUGGUCCAAAUGUAGCUAUUCAUGUGACUCAGGAUACAAUUACAUUAAAAUUUUUCUGGAAUAUUAGCCAAAUGAACAACACACAAAACAUUAUUGUGAGUAGGGUUGCAAAUUUACUCAUAUGAUACAGUAAUGUGCAAACAAAAUGUUUAUUUCUUCUAUAACCACUCACUCACCGCUGCACUGGGUUGUAAGGAAAAGCGAUCCAGCACGCUGCAAUACUUUCAACAAUCUCUCAGCUUCUCCUCUGCAUCUUUAGAACAUCAUCAUCCCUGCCCUGCUUGCCUCUGAGUUGGCACCAGGGACUGGAGGCAGGUGUACGGCGGGUUCUUGUGGGUUCAUGGAGCCUUGCUGGCCUCAGCUGCCAAGUGGCCCCUCUGCUCCCUGGACUGGUCCCCAUGAGGCAUUGCUGGUGUGUGUUUCUGAAUGCUGUGACAAGGGUCGGUGCUGGUCUGCUUCUUGUGCUGGGUUGUGUUCCUGGUGGUCGCUGCCAUCGCACUUUGCUCCUUGUGCCUUUGCCACCCCGACUGCUACACGUUAGAGACUCUCUCCCCCAACCCUCAUACAUCGGCCCUGGCCUCCUUUGUGCCCUUUGCUGCAGGGUAGUGCAGCCCCCAGCCCACCCCCAAUGGCAGCCCACUGGCUCUUCUGUUGGCCUCCACAAGGCAUGAGGGAUUCCGGGUGUCUUUGAAGACCCAGUCAAGCUGGAGGGCCUCCGUGUAGUCAUCCUAGAAUAAAUACUCACAGCUUACUCAUUCCUGACCCUUCAGCUGGGGUGACCAGAAUUUGACGUCUCUACAGUGUUUCACAAUAGCGUACCUUGAAAACUUUUUUCCAUUGUGACAGUGAUUAUGACCACACAAUGACAGCAUAGCCAGGCAAAAUGUGGAAAGGUUGGUAAAUUGCUAAAGUGAUUAAUUAAUGCUUGUAAAGUUACAAAAUAUAUCCAUUGAUACUAUAAUGAUUCAUUGAACAUUCCAUUAAAAUACGUUGGCAUCAUAUAUAACAGGGGUUGGAAAACUCUGGCCUGCAGGUCAAAUCUGGUCCUCUGCUUGUUUUUGUAAAUAAAGUUUUAUUAGCACAUAGCCACUCCCAUUUGCUUAUACAUCGUCUAUGGCUGCUUCAUGCUAGAAGGGCAGAGUUGAGUAAUUGCAACAGAGACCAUACUUUUGAAGCCCAAAUUAUUUACUAUCAGGCCCUUGACGGAAAAAUUUGUCAUCUCUGCUCUAUGUCUAGUAUGAAACGAUAGUUAUCUUUAGCUCUGAGACAUGCAGCUGGGGAUGAAGAGUUUGAAACAACACAGUGAACAAAGGUGACAAGAGUGAAAAUCCUCUGUCUGCAACCAAAGGAAACCAAAACAAAGAAAGCUGGUUUGCUCCAGAGUUUCUACUUUAUUGUUUAUCAUUGAGCUAUGUUUUUCCACAAACACAGGAUGAUGGUUAAAAACAUAAAGUUUUUGAGGAGAUGAUUUCCCAUAAACACUCUGCCUUCACAAAAAGGAGUCAUCUUGAGCCACAGAAGAAAUAUUGGAGACAUUUUUAAGCCUCUGUUUUGGGAUCUGAUUCCCACGUGGUUUGAAGACCCUGUUCAUAUCAUUUCUAGAGAUGGGAAGUAGAUUUGGAGUCUGACGACCUGGGUUCACAUCCUAGUAAUGGAACCAACCCCCAUGACCAUAGACAAGAUGAGUGUCCCACGUGGCCUCUGUUUUCCUAGCUGUGAAAUGGACCCAUCUGGGAAGAGGAGCUCUGAUGGCCCUUCCAGCUCGAAAAUCCUGACUCUGUGCUUCCAAUUUAAUGGAAAUGUUGGCCCCAUUCUGACUCUACCCCAUGAGAAUGUGAUGGUAUGACAUUAAAACGAUAAGGAUGCUCUAGAUAUGAAAUUCUACUGUUGAAUCCGUAUUGCACCCAAGGUCUAAAGAACCAGUUAUUCAAUUUAACCAGCUGAGGGAGUAGACAUGGCUAACAUUUGGGCUCAGCAGCUAAAGCUUUUCUGGAAACAGACCUCCUGGGGCCAUGAAGGAGGAAGGAAUUCCGAUCGUGGAGAUAUCAACUGAAAGGUCCACCUGGACGUCGUGAACAGCUCUACAUGUGGGCCGUGGCGCUCAGACCAGUGACACACAAUAUCCCAGAAUCUGUUUUGUAUUUAGGAAAAAAUUUACAGUGAAUACAUGACAUUUAGAGCACACUCAUGGCAGAUGAUUUCAAUUGUGUAGUUCUUAAAUGUUUGCACGUCCUAACAUCUUUCCGGCCUCCAGCACAGCUCUGCUCUGAGUGGCACGUCCAUUAUUAUCCCUCCGUGAGUGUGUGAGCCUGUGCUAAAUUUCACAGUCCCUGGACUCCCAGCAUCUGGGAUACGGAGGGUGGGGGUGUGGGUGAGGUGACUCAGCCUGGGGUGCACCCAACACAACACUGCAACACUGUAAUUCAGUUCCUUACGAGAAAGCAGAAUGCAAUUCACACAACGCUUUGCUGGUAUCAGCCUGCACUGAGAUAAAACAGCUCAGAGGCCGUAUUGGCCUGCCUGGGAUAGUCGUUGUGAGGGUUCAGUAAGAUAAAGAUUCCAGUGUUUAGCCCAGCGUCUGGAUCUCAGGAACAGCUCUGUAAAUGAUGCAUAUUCUUACGGCAGUGGAAAAGCUGUUAGAAAGAAUCGAGAGCUAUCCAACUGUACCUGGGUAUUUCUGUGUGUUUUAAUUAUGAUCUAUCCUGUGUGCUCAAAGAGUUCUGAAAGCGUGGGCUGUGACAGCUAGAAGGGAUCCUAGAAAUCAAUGUUUGGACCAGGAUACCAGGAGCCAGAGGAUUCAAGUGGCUCAUGAAUGGCCACACAAGGUAUUCAUGGCAGGAUGGUCUUUAAUUUUUACAUUAUUUUUAAUUGAAGAUUCACAGAAAGAACAAAGUUUUCCAGUCUAUAUUCCUUAGGACACAGCGAUAUUAAUUCCUGCCUCACUGGGCUGCUGGGCAAAGGAAGCGACAACCCUGAGCAGAUGGGGCAUGGGCUGAGCACUGCAUAUUGGCAUCUAUUAACAUCGCCACCCUCGAGGAGGUGUGUCCUCAGGACACCCGCACCCCACUCCUGCCAGGCCCCCUCCUGUGACGGGCAC